AUUGAACGCUGGCGGAAUGCUUUACACAUGCAAGUCGAGCGGCAGCGCGGCCUUCGGGCUGGCGGCGAGCGGCGAACGGGUGAGUAAUGCAUCGGAACAUGCCCAGUCGUGGGGGAUAACACUUCGAAAGAAGUGCUAAUACCGCAUACGUCCUGAGGGGGAAAGCGGGGGAUCGCAAGACCUCGCGCGAUUGGAGUGGCCGAUGUCAGAUUAGCUAGUUGGUGGGGUAAAGGCCUACCAAGGCGACGAUCUGUAGCUGGUCUGAGAGGAUGAUCAGCCACACUGGGACUGAGACACGGCCCAGACUCCUACGGGAGGCAGCAGUGGGGAAUUUUGGACAAUGGGGGCAACCCUGAUCCAGCCAUUCCGCGUGAGUGAAGAAGGCCUUCGGGUUGUAAAGCU
This 402-nucleotide ribosomal RNA is filed under the name uncultured bacterium. RNAcentral's name for it is "bacterial SSU rRNA". It matches the Rfam family "Bacterial small subunit ribosomal RNA", at positions 30 to 432 of the family's 1533-position model. The record is from RNAcentral.